AUACAUGAUAGUUUUGUUUAAAAUUUCUUAUUUAAUUAUAAGGCAUAAAUACAUCUUGUGAUCAAUUGUUUUGACAACAAGCACACAAAUGAAAACAUGUAGAGAAAAACUGAUAGAGGCAUGAACUGAAGAUUUACAAUUAGACAGCUAAAAAGAAACAAGCAAAACUCUUAUGUUUCCUAUGUAGUUUACACUGAAGGAAAAUACGUGGAAGGCAGGCAGUUUUAGGCUUUGAGAACUUAAUAGGGAUCCUGUUUACACUUGGCCUUUUCCAGGAAGGCUUCA
Molecule: long non-coding RNA, 285 nt
Filed under: Homo sapiens (human)
Lineage: Eukaryota; Metazoa; Chordata; Mammalia; Primates; Hominidae
Description: HSALNT0070883
Source: RNAcentral